This 253-nucleotide ribosomal RNA is filed under the name uncultured bacterium. RNAcentral's name for it is "partial 16S ribosomal RNA". It matches the Rfam family "Bacterial small subunit ribosomal RNA", at positions 524 to 776 of the family's 1533-position model. The record is from RNAcentral.
UACGGAGGGUGCGAGCGUUGUCCGGAAUCACUGGGCGUAAAGGGCGCGUAGGCGGCUUGGGAAGUCCGUGGUGAAAGCCCGAGGCUCAACUUCGGGUCGGCCAUGGAUACUCCUAAGCUCGAGUCGACUAGAGGCUAAUGGAAUUCCUGGUGUAGCGGUGGAAUGCGCAGAUAUCAGGAGGAACACCGGUGGCGAAGGCGGGUCUCUGGGCAGUAACUGACGCUGAGGAGCGAAAGCGUGGGGAGCGAACAGG